This 60-nucleotide non-coding RNA is filed under the name bovine gut metagenome. RNAcentral's name for it is "pemK RNA". It matches the Rfam family "pemK RNA". The record is from RNAcentral.
ACAAUGGUACCCCUGCCCAUAAGGGCAGCUCGGAGAGAUCCUCGGAGGGGUGAGAGUCCC